GUCAUACUUUUAUAAUAGAAAUGGUUAUUUGUUAAGUAACGUAUUAUGCUUUUUGGUGAAAUAACUCGCUCUCACCUUCCCUGACGUAUGAUUACCAAAUAUUGAUUAUAAACAAGGAUUAGAUACCCUUUUAUACAAUGCACAAUAAACUUUUCUGAGCACUAAAACCCUCUAGGUUAAAACUUAAAUAACAUGGCGGUAAUCUUGGCUCUUAGGGGAACUUACCAUAUAAUUGAUAACCACCAAGUUAAAUUAACUUAAAAAAAUUCUUGUAUGCCGUCGUCGUCAGAUAAUAUUUGAUAUUUUAUCAUGAUUCAAUAAAAAGACAGAUCAAGGUGCAGACAAUUUUUAAGUAUCGGCGAGUUACAAUUAAAAGCUAGCGGACACCCUUUCGUACAAAGGAGUUAAAGUAGGACUUAACAGUAGUGUAUAUUAUAUUUAUUACACGAAAUCACCAAGAUUKGUGUACAA
Molecule: ribosomal RNA, 471 nt
Filed under: Rhynchotrochus macgillivrayi
Lineage: Eukaryota; Metazoa; Mollusca; Gastropoda; Stylommatophora; Camaenidae
Description: partial 12S ribosomal RNA
Source: RNAcentral